RNAcentral lists this microRNA precursor (206 nucleotides) under Oryza sativa Japonica Group (Japanese rice). RNAcentral's name for it is "MIR812 microRNA precursor family". It matches the Rfam family "MIR812 microRNA precursor family". The record is from Rfam by way of RNAcentral. Lineage: Eukaryota; Viridiplantae; Streptophyta; Magnoliopsida; Poales; Poaceae.
AAAAAGACAAACCAUGGAUUUCCGUGUCCAACUUUGACUGUCUGUCUUAUAUAAAUUUUUUUUAUAAUUCGUAUUUUCAUUGUUGUUAGAUGAUAAAACAUGAUUAAUAUUUUAUGCGUGACUUGUUUUUUUAAUUUUUUUUCAUAAUUUUUUCAAAUAAAACGGACGGUCAAACGUUGGGCACGGAAAUCAGGGUUUGUCUUUUU